This 569-nucleotide ribosomal RNA is filed under the name uncultured Bacteroidota bacterium. Its description in RNAcentral is "bacterial SSU rRNA". It matches the Rfam family "Bacterial small subunit ribosomal RNA", at positions 347 to 917 of the family's 1533-position model. The record is from RNAcentral. Lineage: Bacteria; Pseudomonadati; Bacteroidota.
GGCAGCAGUGAGGAAUAUUGGUCAAUGGGCGAGAGCCUGAACCAGCCAAGUCGCGUGAGGGAAGACUGCCCUAUGGGUUGUAAACCUCUUUUAUAAGGGAAGAAUAAGUUCUACGUGUAGAAUGAUGCCUGUACUUUAUGAAUAAGCAUCGGCUAACUCCGUGCCAGCAGCCGCGGUAAUACGGAGGAUGCGAGCGUUAUCCGGAUUUAUUGGGUUUAAAGGGAGCGUAGGCGGGCUUUUAAGUCAGCGGUCAAAUGUCGUGGCUCAACCAUGUCAAGCCGUUGAAACUGUAAGCCUUGAGUCUGCACAGGGCACAUGGAAUUCGUGGUGUAGCGGUGAAAUGCUUAGAUAUCACGAAGAACUCCGAUCGCGAAGGCAUUGUGCCGGGGCAUAACUGACGCUGAGGCUCGAAAGUGCGGGUAUCAAACAGGAUUAGAUACCCUGGUAGUCCGCACGGUAAACGAUGAAUGCUCGCUAUGGGCGAUAUAUUGUCCGUGGCCAAGCGAAAGCGUUAAGCAUUCCACCUGGGGAGUACGCCGGCAACGGUGCAAGUCAAAUGAAUUGACGGA